This is a long non-coding RNA of Taeniopygia guttata (zebra finch), 1577 nucleotides long. RefSeq lists it as uncharacterized. The record is from RefSeq and is a predicted model, not a curated record. Lineage: Eukaryota; Metazoa; Chordata; Aves; Passeriformes; Estrildidae.
UGCUGUGCUAAAUGCAGCCGUGGAGUCCUGCGAGAAUGUUCUGGGAUAAUUCCCGAGUGCUGUCGGCUCGGUGGCACCGGGGGCUCGGGCAGAGCGACAAACAGCUCAGCCUUAGCCCGAUAUAAUUAACGUAAUUAACGCUUCCCGGAGCGGCACGGCUGCAAUCAGUGUCUGCCACUCAUUAAGGACAGCUCAUUUAGGUGUGGCUGGACAAAAAUCGAAGCUCUUUGUGCCUCACAAAGGAGAGUCCUGAACCCUGGAAGCUGGUGUGUCUCUGACAGCCACUCUUGGUGGGCAAGCUUCAUUCCUGCUACACAUCUCCAAAGGGCUCUGUGGGGAUCUCCUGGGUUUUCCCUUGUGGAUGAAGACCUCAAGGAGCCAGAGGAAAGGACUUGCAGAGCAGUUAUAGCACGAGGCUCCACCAGUGAACGAGCCCAUGCUGGUCAGCACCAAGUCCUCCUCCAGCCCCCCAGGUGAGUCACACUGCUCCUCCUUUUUUAGCACCUUGCAGCACAUCACUGUAACGUGAAGGCCUGGAGCACAUGUUCCUCCUGAGCUGUGGGAUCAACGGGAGCAUCCAUGGGCAUGUGGACCACAGGGAGGGUGAGGGGACAGCAAGGAGAGGUGGGGUCUCAGCACAGCAGGCGAGCAGGACGGUCAGGCUGGGCUGGGCUGCAGUGGUGAGGGAGGGCAGAGACCUCUGCCCUCUUCCCGUGUGCCCAUGGCCAGGGCUGGGCAGCAGGGUGGGGGCUCUUUGUCCCAGGGGGUCAGGCCACCCUCCGUGCAAACAGCAAACAGGUCCUUGGCACUGCGGCCUGGGAGAGGAUGUUCUCCAAGGAUACAGAGGUCUGCUUGUGUGUCUCUGUGUGGGUGAGUUAUUUAUUUCUUUAAAAAUUAAUUUUCUGGCCGAGUGUGGAGCUACCUGCUUCUGGGUCACUAAAAAUAGCUGUAAACACGACGCUGAGGAAGCGGCAAGCAGGAGUGUGGCUGUGUGCCUUUAUUUCAGGGAUGGCAGCGCCAUUUAGAGAUGCACACCACAGUUAGAUUAAAGGCUUAAUGGCUGCAAUUAAACUUCCUGCAGGAAUGAUUUCCUUGCUGAGCUUUUCUCGGCAGCAAGCCCUGCGGUGCCAGUGUUUCUCCAGAAGAGAGGAGGGAAAGAGGGGAAGCCCAGCAGGAGCCCAGACAAAGGUGCAGCCUCUCACCCCUUGGCCAGCUCUCAGGGUUAAAUAAAAGCCCUGCUGCAGCUAUCUCAGCAGCAUUUCUGGUGCACCAGAUACUCUGCAGAAGUAAGGAGGUAUGAAGAAAACCAGUGGGCAGGUGUCUGGGCGCCAUCGGGCAGCCUGGGAAAAGUCCACCCACUUGCAGCAGCUGAGGAAACCCUCUCCAUUAAAAUGAGCAGGAGGUUCAGCUCAGACACAGUGGGAGGGGGCCUGGUAGCCACACAGCUGAGGACCUGGGGAUACAGGACAUGUUUUGGUGGCUCCAACUAUCUCUGCAGCAUGAGGACAAGCCAGCAGGGCACAGAAGCCAGGCAGCUGCUUACUCCCUCUCAAAUCAAAGCCAACUCUCUCUAUUCA